AUUGAACGCUGGCGGCAGGCCUAACACAUGCAAGUCGAGCGGAUGAAGGGAGCUUGCUCCUGGAUUCAGCGGCGGACGGGUGAGUAAUGCCUAGGAAUCUGCCUGGUAGUGGGGGAUAACGUCCGGAAACGGGCGCUAAUACCGCAUACGUCCUGAGGGAGAAAGUGGGGGAGCUUCGGACCUCACGCUAUCAGAUGAGCCUAGGUCGGAUUAGCUAGUUGGUGGGGUAAAGGCCUACCAAGGCGACGAUCCGUAACUGGUCUGAGAGGAUGAUCAGUCACACUGGAACUGAGACACGGUCCAGACUCCUACGGGAGGCAGCAGUGGGGAAUAUUGGACAGUGGGCGAAAGCCUGAUCCAGCCAUGCCGCGUGUGUGAAGAAGGUCUUCGGAUUGUAAAGCCCUUUAAGUUGGGAGGAAGGGCAGUAAGUUAAUACCUUGCUGUUUUGACGUUACCAACAGAAUAAGCACCGGCUAACUUCGUG
RNAcentral lists this ribosomal RNA (484 nucleotides) under uncultured bacterium. RNAcentral describes it as "partial 16S ribosomal RNA". It matches the Rfam family "Bacterial small subunit ribosomal RNA", at positions 30 to 507 of the family's 1533-position model. The record is from RNAcentral.